Molecule: ribosomal RNA, 590 nt
Filed under: uncultured bacterium
Lineage: Bacteria
Description: partial 16S ribosomal RNA
Rfam family: Bacterial small subunit ribosomal RNA
Source: RNAcentral
UGGGGAAUUUUGGACAAUGGGCGCAAGCCUGAUCCAGCCAUGCCGCGUGCGGGAAGAAGGCCUUCGGGUUGUAAACCGCUUUUGUCAGGGAAGAAAUCUUCUGAGUUAAUACCUCGGGAGGAUGACGGUACCUGAAGAAUAAGCACCGGCUAACUACGUGCCAGCAGCCGCGGUAAUACGUAGGGUGCAAGCGUUAAUCGGAAUUACUGGGCGUAAAGCGUGCGCAGGCGGUUUUGUAAGACAGAGGUGAAAUCCCCGGGCUCAACCUGGGAACUGCCUUUGUGACUGCAAGGCUUGAGUGCGGCAGAGGGGGGAUGGAAUUCCGCGUGUAGCAGUGAAAUGCGUAGAUAUGCGGAGGAACACCGGUGGCGAAGGCAAAUCCCCCUGGGCCUGCACUGACGCUCAUGCACGAAAGCGUGGGGAGCAAAACAGGAUUAGAUACCCUGGUAGUCCACGCCCUAAAACGAUGUCGACUGGUUGUUGGUCCUUCACUGGAUCAGUAGCGAAGCUAACGCGUGAAGUUGACCGCCUGGGGAGUACGGCCGCAAGGUUGAAACUCAAAGGAAUUGACGGGGUCAUAGCUGUUUCCU